This 174-nucleotide unclassified non-coding RNA is filed under the name uncultured Geomyces. RNAcentral describes it as "sequence contains ITS1". The record is from RNAcentral. Lineage: Eukaryota; Fungi; Ascomycota; Leotiomycetes; Myxotrichaceae.
CAGUAGUCACCCGGGGCGCCGCAAGGCCUCCCGGGUAACCUACCACCCUUUGUUUAUUACACUUUGUUGCUUUGGCAGGCCUGCCCUCGGGCUGCUGGCUCCGGCCGGCGAGCGCUUGCCAGAGGACCCAAAACUCUGAAUUUAAAGUAUUGUCUGAGUACUAUAUAAUAGUUA